ACUAAGUUUUAUAUUUGUCCGUGUAGUUAGCUCUACUGGAAAGAUUUACAUUUUUGUAUGGCUUCGAAUUACUUACUAGUAUUCUUUCAAUUUGGAGGACCACCUUAAGCAUUUCUUGUGGAGCUUGUCUAUUGGUAGUGAAUUUCCACAGCGCUUGUUUAUCUGGGAAUGUGUUAAUUUCUCCCUCAUUUUGGAAGGAUAGUUUUUGCCAGAUACAGAAUUCUCGGUUGAUGGGGGUUUUUUCUUGCAGCAUUUAAUUAUAUCAUCCGACUGCCUUCUGGCCUGCCAAGAUUGUGCCCUGGGAGCCAGAGAGGGACCCCUUUACUAGUAAAAUGCUCUGCAAUUUUGUUUUGUUUUGUUUUGUUUUGGAGGGCAUUAGAUUAACCAUUGUUUCCAAAUUGACUUCUCACCCACCUGCAUACUACUCUUCCUCUUAGAGAUUGUCAGGCCAGGCUCCAUAUGGUCUCUGUUAUGAUCUUCCCCUCCUGCCAUAGAGGUAGCCGCUUUCCCAUCUCAGAUGCACUGUGGAACAGAUCUCAGGCUUUAACUAUGUGCUGGGCAGACAAGCAAGGAAGACAUCGUGAGCAGAAGAAGCAAUGUAUCACAAGGAUUGGAACUCCCCCAGGUGUAUCCAUGAAACUACAAUGAUUCCAGGAAAUGUGAGACAAGAUGAGUGGCUUCCACAACCCCACCUGGAUUCACAGCCACAGUGAGCUCCCUUAUCCAUCAAAUGUGACUGGAAGCUUGAUAUGGACCCAUUUCAGCCCAGCCGUGCCUGCAGCUCACAGCACUCGCUAAGUGUCCCAGUGAAUCUGGUCAGGUCUCCUGACCAUCACCCCUGCGGGAGGCCUUCCUUCUCUUCAGAGUGGUAGCUAGCACAAAGCACCUUGGCCAAGUGCCCAUGUGCACACAGGAGGACCCAGGGGAGAGGACCAAGGUCAGACGGAGAGCCCCAGCCACUCACUAUCUUUGUUCUCCCCUCCUUGGUCAGCAGUGUCCCAGGUUCUGGUUGGGAAGGCAGAGAGGAAGAAUGACUUUGCCUCAGACUGCCUCCCAGCUCAGGCAGUGUAGGGCCGUGCGUUAUUGAGGUGGGACUCUUCAUGGUGGUUUUCUUGUCAUUCAGGAAUUGUCAUUCAUCUGCUCAUUCAGGAAUUUGUUGAGAUCACUUUCAGUGGAGGAACAGGAACAAGGAUGGAUGUGCCAAGAGAGGGUGCUUUGGGGUCAUAUGACCCCAAGUCCUAUUCCCCUUCUGCCACCUGUGGGCUAUGUGGUCUAGGGCAAAAGUCACUUUAGCUCACUAAGCUUUGGUUUCCUCCUCCUGAGGGCAUCGAUGCCCACUGCACAGAGAGAUCAUAGGGGCGCAAAUGCUCAGAAGGAUGCCCAGCACACAGUAGGUAGCUUAAUAGGUAGGGCUACCUCAUUGUGAUUUUUCAGUUUCCUCUGUGUUUCAGUCUCACUGCUUAAUUUAACAUUGGAUUUGGUGAUAUGUGGCUUCACAUUUCCUUUACCUCAGCUAGCAGCUGAGGAUUACGUGCUCAGGCUCUGGAGUUUGCCCAGACCUAGUCUCAAAUCCUGGCUCUGCCAGCACACUCACUGUUUGACUUUGCCUGAGUAACUCUACCGAUUGGUUCCUGUGGAGAUGAUGGUGGCGCACCCCACCCCCUUGUAGAGAGGUUGUUAGAAGGAAAUAGGAUCGUGCAUGGGCAUUGCUUGGUACAUGGGAAAUGCUCAAGUAUCGGUGUUCAUCUUGUGAAUAUUGCCACCCUGAGAAGGCACAUUCUUAUUCCAAAAUUGGGCACUUGCCAUUGUUCAGACUAUUCAACAAAUCUUGACAUUAGCUUCUGAGUCCUUUGAAUGCCCAUAAUGGUAAGAAACUUUCAAGAAAGAGCAGGUUUGGGGGAAGACUGAGAAGGUAUUCAGAGGCAAAUCUGCUGAUUGACAUGGCUGGUGAAUUAAGAUAAUUAUCUUUCCAGUCAAAAACAUUGUGUUUCUUGUAACCCAUGCAAAUGCAUGCACAAGAGGCCUUCCAGCAGUGUGGGCAGAGGCCUCCAGAGGCGUGACUUGGUUCAUUACCACUCACUCGUUACUGUUAUUUUUUAAUUGGAAAGUGAAACCUGCCCAUGCUUAAAAAAGAAACAUCUCAAAGAGUAAAAGCGAAAAAAUCUCCCUAUCACACAGAGGCAGUCUACAGUUUCCAACUCUCCUCAAGGAGAGUGGAAUGUGGCUAUAUAUGGUCCCUUUCAAAACAGCAAAUGGGGGCCCAGCAGGCACACUGUUCUGCACCUUUUUCUUCCCUCUCAUGAAGCUCUCCUGAGGGUAUGGCUUUCAAGGACUUCCCUCUACAGAGAGGCACAGACUAUUGAAGAAAUGCCCAGGGAAGGCCUUUGGGACUCCCCAGAUUCUUAAACACUGUGGUGGCCGGUAACUGGCCCUGCUCCUCGCUCUGACGUGCCUAUUUGUCAGUUCUCUCACUUUAAAUCAUUUUCCAUUCACUUCCUUAGCCAGCGCUAAUAGUUGGACUUCUGGAGGGAGAGAGAGGGAGGAAGGGAAGGAGAGAGGGAGAAGAUAAAUUGAGGGAGAAAGAAAGGGAAGAGAGGAGAGGGAGAGGAAAGGUGGGGCAGGGAGGGUCUUUCACCCAUGGCCAUCUGGUUGUUAUGAAUUGAACUGUGUUCCGGGAAUGCAAGCUGGUACAGCCACUCUGGAAAACAGUAUGAUGUUCUUCAAAAAACUAAAAAUAGAACUACCCUACGACCCAGCAAUUGCACUACUAGGCAUUUAUCCAUGGGAUACAGGUGUGCUGUUUCGAAGGGACACAUGCACCCCCAUAUUUAUAGCAGCACUAUUAACAACAGCCAAAGUAUGGAAAGAGCCCAAAUGUCCAUCGAUGGAUGAAUGGAUAAAGAAGAGGUGGCAUAUACAUACAAUGGAGUAUUACUUGGCAAUCAAAAAGAAUGAAAUCUUGCCAUUUGCAACUACGUGGAUGGAACUGAAGGGCAUUAUGCUAAGUGAAAUUAGUCAGAGAAAGACAAAAAUCAUGUGACUUCACUCAUAUGAGGACUUUGAUGAACAUAAGGGAAGGGAAACAAAAAUAAUAUAAAAACAGGGAGGAGGACAAAACAGAAGACACUCAUAAAUAUGGAGAACAAACUGAGGGUUACGGGAGGGGUUGUGGGAGGGGGGGAUGGGCUAAAAGGGUAAGGGGCACUAAGGAAUCUACUCCUGAAAUCAUUGUUGCACUAUAUGCUAACUAAUUUGGAUGUAAACUUUAAAAAAAUAAAAUAUAAAAUAAAAAAAAAUGAACUGUGUUCCCUCCAAAUUCAUACAUUGAAGUUCUAACCCCCAGGACUCCACAAAGUGACCUUUUUUGGAAAUAAGGGUUAUUGCUGGUGUAAUUAGUUAAGAUUAGGUCAUUACUAAAGUAGGGUGGGUCCUUAUUUUAGUGGGACUGGUGUCCUCGCAAAAAGGGGAAAUUGGGAAACAGAUGCACACACAGGGAGAACACCCUGUGAAGAUGAAGACAAAAAUGAGGGUGACACCAACACUUGCAAGCAAAGCUUCAGGAAGUAGGAGAGAAGCAUGAACAGAACCAGCCCUGCUGACCCCUUGAUCUUGGAUUUCCAGCCUCCAGAACGGUGAGACGAUAAAUGUCUAUUGUUUAAGCCGCCCAGUUCAUGUACUUUGUUAGGGCAGCCCUCGCGGACUAACAAAUACCCUGGGGAGAGACAGGCUGCCAGCCCUGAAACCUCCCAUGUCAGAAAAGGAGAACCAACAUGUUCCUCGCCUUCAGUAUUUGCUGGCCCCCAUCUAUGCAGCCGUCCAUAGCUUUCCAUUUUCCACUGGAGACCUGAGCCAUAAUAACAAGCACUAUAAACUGAAGGCAAGACUUAAAACUAGAAGCUUUGGCCACCCCAAAGUUUGCCUCCUGAAGUCUCUAGACCAAAUGAACAGGUCCAUGCUUACCCAUGGGCUUUUAGUGCCAGCAGCUUCCAGACUCAACCUACAGGUGUUUGCCCCUAGAGAGGCAACACGGGCAGCAUACUGGGUACUCACCAGAACGGAAGCCCACGCUGGAGCAGAGCCAGAUACUUAUGGGGGGAGAUUCUUGUUAUGUUCUGGACAGUGGAAAAAAGCUUCCUGUAAAGUUGAAGCUGCAACUUUAUUAAGAUGGAAAUGCUACUACGGGAUCAAACUUAACCUGGCCCUAUGGGGUGUCGUGACUCCAUGAGGACAUGGCCACAUACCCUGGCACUAGAUUAACAUGCCAAAGUCCCCAGCGAUGUCUCAUCCCUUGCUCAAUGGGGAUAAGAGGUAGGGCAGCCCCACUCACAAAACGAGAAAGUCAAUGAUCUCUUUACCAAUGGAGUGAGCACAGGGCAUAAAAAGGCCAAACAGUGGGCAAUCUCAGCCUAUGGCCCAUAUUCAGACACUCCAAAUUCUGUAUGGGAGAGAGACCAAAGCAUCCAAUGGGCCGAGCCGAGUGCAAUACUUCCAGCAAUAGCAUAUGCCCUUGACAAACAUUUUCCUAAGAUUUCUAUUUUUACCAACUCCUGGUUGGGAGCUAAAAGGCUAACUAUUUGAUCAGGACUUCAGCAAAAUGUGGGAUGAGGACCUGACAUGAACCAGCUCUGUGACUGUCCUGAGCCUGUGCCCACUCAUCAUCUAGCAUUUAGCUACCACCAUCUGGAGAGAAAGGCACUGUCAUCUGCCACUCAAGUACUUUGCUCCACGAAAGACACUGAGGACAAGUCUGGAUCUGUAACUGACACCCAUCAGAUGGAACUCUUACUGCCAGAGUGGGCAACACCAUUUGGACAAUACCCAGAAGACCAUCAGAUUCCUCUACUGCUGGGUGCAGAUGACCCCUGACUUUAACCCCUACUGUAUUGCUGUGUACUUUCCUUACCUAAGUUCCUGGCAAGGACAGAUAUAUAUCAACACAUAGUCCUAGAUGACUUAUUGGCUGCUGAGGGGAGUGAGGUCUGCAUAUUUAGCACAUCUUGCUACGUGUUUUAAAGAUAGCCAGAGGCAUGCAUCAAAGAGGCCAUAAUAACACUCUAUGGACUAAACAAAUGGAACAAGUCAAAAUCUCCUUUUCUGACCUUAUUCUCCUUACAGACUAGCUGCAAAUAGGCUUUGAAAUUCUAGUUUUUACUCUCACAGGAUUCUGGGGCUUUAAAAUCUUUAUUAUGGGCUCCAAACUCAGGCAGUAUGAAUUAACAUACAACUAAAAUUAUAAAGCAACAUGGGUCUGAGGGAUGGAUUGUUAUAUUAUGAGCCAAAGAUAACCUCUUGUAUAUUGGCCUUAUGUUUUUAGCUUAUUCAUAGUGGCCUAGGACCUGUUAGCUCAAAAGCCUGCUGAUGGAAAACUCAAAUUUUACACAUACAGUAGUUUUAAAAAUAGCUCAUACAAGCAGAUUUUUUAGCCAUUUGCAGUCUGUCUGCUUUGCAUACUCCAGGAAAGUACACCUAACAUCUGCUAGCCAUAGAUAAAAUAAACCCAGUAGCUAUAAAAGACUCCACACUGGUGCUGCCCUUCAAAGCUUCAUGUCCCAGAGGCUCUCAGUGUUGUAACUGACUGACAUCCUCUAGACACACAAGCUUGCUCCCUGCUCUCCCUCCCCUUCUGGAUGGACACUUUCAUGCUCUGAGGGAUUUCCUUCAUCAUGCCAACCUAGCCAGAAUGUCAUCCAAAUAAAGCUCAUUGUGUGCUACUGCCACCUAGUGGUCAUAUCGUUUUCUGUGAUCGACCCCCAAAUGCCUAGGCAUUUAUACAUUUAUCAACCAGUUUUGGGUUUUAUUAUUUUUCUCUAUUGUUUUUCUGUUUUCUAUUUAGUUUCUGCUCUAAUAUUUAUUAUUUCCUUUAUUCUUCUUAAUUUGUAUUUCAUUUUCCCUUCUUUAUCUAGUUUUCUCAGGUGAAACAGCAAUCGUAGAUUUGAGAUCUUCUUUUCCAUCCAUUUAUUGGAUGGAAACCUCUGUGGUAUUUAGUGUUAUAAAUUUCCCUCUAAACACUGCUUCCAACGCAUUCCACAAAUUUGGUAUAUUUUGUUUCCAUUUUCAUUCAAGUCUAAAUACUUUCUCUUUUCCCUUUGAAUUCAUUUUUUUUUUUUUAAACUCACAUAUUAUUUAGAACUGUGUUAUUUAGUUUUCAAUAUUUGGGAAUUUUAUACAUUUCUGUCAUUGACAUAUAAUGCCAUUGUAGUCAGAGAACACACUUUGUAUGGGAUGAAUAACUUUACAAUUUUUAGCUGCUUUGUGGCCAUGGAAUAGGGUCUAUUAUGGUGUUUUUUUUCUUUUUUUAAAAUGUUUAUUUAUUUUGAUGGAGAGAAAGAGAGAGUGCAUGAAAGCAGGGGAAGGAGCAGAGAGAGAGAGAGAGAGAGAGAGGAGAGGGAGAGAAUCCAAGCAGGCUCUAUGCUGACAGCUGACAAUGUGGAGCUUGAUCUUAACCAACUGUGAGGUCAUGACCUGAGCCAAAAUCAAGAGUCAGACACUUAACCAACUGGGCCACCCAGGCGCCCCUAUUAUGGUAAGUAUUUUGUGUGCACUUGAAUACAAUGUGUAUUUUGCUGAAUUUAGAAGAGUAUUCCACAAAUCAAUUAGGUCAAUUCGUAGUAUUGGAGUAUUCUAGUUUUGUAUAUCUGCUGAUUUUUAUUCUACUUGUUUUGUCAAAUAUUGAGAAAGGGUAUUGAAAUCUGACUGUAAUUAUGGAUGUGUUUAUUACUCCUUUCAGUUCUGUAAAUGUUUGUUUCAUGUAUUUUGAAGCUCUAUUAUUAGGUGAAUUUAUGUUCAGGAUUAUUAUGUCCUCUUAAGAAAUUGGCUUUUCUCUUUAUCAUUAUGAAGUGGUUCUUUUUAUUCCUGGUUAUAUUCUUUGCUUUGAAAACUACUUGUUCUGGGGGCGCCUGGGUGGCUCAGUCGGUUAAGCGGCCGACUUCAGCUCAGGUCAUGAUCUCGCGUCUGCGAGUUUGAGCCCCGCGUCAGGCUCUGUGCUGACAGCUCGGAGCCUGGAGCCUGUUUCAGAUUCUGUGUCUCCCUCUCUCUGACCCUCCCCCGUUCAUGCUCUGUCUCAAAAAUAAAUAAAACAUUAAAAAAAAAGAAAAGAAAACUACUUGUUCUGUUAUUAAUAUAACCACCUGGAGUGUCUGGUGGCUAACUUGAGAAUGAAUGAAUGAAUGAAUAAACAAACAAAUAAAUAAAUAAAUAAAUAAAGUAGGCUUCUUGUAGGCAAUUUGAGCCUUGUUUUUUAUCCAAUCUGACAAUCUCUGUCUUUUUAAUUUGAAUAUUUAGACCUUCAUGUUUAAUGUGAUGCUUAAUAUGACUAGAUUUAAAUCUAUAUGGGUAUUUAUUAUGUAACUG
Panthera uncia (snow leopard) is the source of this 7350-nucleotide long non-coding RNA. RefSeq lists it as uncharacterized. The transcript has 3 exons. NCBI's taxonomy places the organism in Eukaryota, Metazoa, Chordata, Mammalia, Carnivora, Felidae. The record is from RefSeq and is a predicted model, not a curated record.